GACAGAGGGUGCAAACGUUGGUCGGAAUUACUGGGCGUAAAGCGCGUGUAGGUGGACUGGUGUGUCAGAUGUGAAAUCCCUGGGCUCAACCCAGGAACUGCACCUGAAACUACCAGUCUUGAGUGGUGGAGAGGGAAGUGGAAUUCCUGGUGUAGAGGUGAAAUUCGUAGAUAUCAGGAAGAACACCCGUGGCGAAGGCGGCUCUCUGGGACGGUACUGACGCUGAGACGCGAAAGCGUGGGGAGCGAACAGG
Molecule: ribosomal RNA, 253 nt
Filed under: uncultured bacterium
Lineage: Bacteria
Description: partial 16S ribosomal RNA
Rfam family: Bacterial small subunit ribosomal RNA
Source: RNAcentral